RNAcentral lists this ribosomal RNA (490 nucleotides) under uncultured bacterium. RNAcentral's name for it is "partial 16S ribosomal RNA". It matches the Rfam family "Bacterial small subunit ribosomal RNA", at positions 29 to 505 of the family's 1533-position model. The record is from RNAcentral.
AGUGAACGCUGGCGGUAGGCCUAACACAUGCAAGUCGAACGGCAGCACAGUAAGAGCUUGCUCUUACGGGUGGCGAGUGGCGGACGGGUGAGGAAUACAUCGGAAUCUACUUUUUCGUGGGGGAUAACGUAGGGAAACUUACGCUAAUACCGCAUACGACCUACGGGUGAAAGCAGGGGAUCUUCGGACCUUGCGCGAUUGAAUGAGCCGAUGUCGGAUUAGCUAGUUGGCGGGGUAAAGGCCCACCAAGGCGACGAUCCGUAGCUGGUCUGAGAGGAUGAUCAGCCACACUGGAACUGAGACACGGUCCAGACUCCUACGGGAGGCAGCAGUGGGGAAUAUUGGACAAUGGGCGCAAGCCUGAUCCAGCCAUACCGCGUGGGUGAAGAAGGCCUUCGGGUUGUAAAGCACUUUUGUUGGGAAAGAAAAGAAGCAGGUUAAUACCCCGCUGUUCUGACGGUACCAAAAGAAUAAGCACCGGCUAACUUCG